Molecule: ribosomal RNA, 253 nt
Filed under: uncultured prokaryote
Description: partial 16S ribosomal RNA
Rfam family: Bacterial small subunit ribosomal RNA
Source: RNAcentral
UACAGGGGGGGCAAGCGUUGUUCGGAAUUACUGGGCGUAAAGGGUUUGUAGGUGGCUUGUUAAGUCAGACGUGAAAUCCCUCAGCUUAACUGGGGAACUGCGUCUGAUACUGUGCGGCUAGAGUGCAGAAGGGGCAACUGGAAUUCUCGGUGUAGCGGUGAAAUGCGUAGAUAUCGAGAGGAACACCUGCGGCGAAGGCGGGUUGCUGGGCUGACACUGACGCUGAUGCGCGAAAGCCAGGGAAGCGAACGGG